UUGCUACCUUUGACUUUGAUCUAUAUCUUUAUUCCAUAGGUUGGACUCAAGGUAGAUUAUCAUGGUCACCAACUACCAGAUGUGAUGCUGUGUCAGUCUGCUGGCAAGAGAUGGAUAAGCAAGUUCGUUAAGCAGGAUUUUGUCAGCCUGGUAUUCUUUCCACUUCUCACUCUCGAGGCUUCUACCAGACUACGAUAAUUAGGUACAUAUAUAUAUUCCUUGCUUAGCAAGACUGUUAUCCUUCUAAUUUUGAGUUAGCUAUGUUACGGACAAUGUUUAACGGAAUACAGAUGUAAAACUAUCAAGGGGUGAUUAGAAGCACUGUAAGAUAAGGGGAUUAGGCGAAAUGGAUGUACUGGCUUGUUCAUUUUAAAUUUUCAUACUUGACCUUAAUUGCCAUUCUCCACAUGUAUUACAGUGUUUUGUUUGUGCAAAAAAUGCAAUGUGCUGAACAUGUAAUGCCAAUAUUGUUGGACAUUUGAAUAUCCAUUAUUUUCGUUUUGUUCUUCCUUCUCUGUUUACUGGCAGCGGGGUGAAAUUAACCCUGGAAAAUGUAAGACCAUCUCCAACUAACUUACCGAUUGUUGUCCAUGUGUGUUCUUUUGUUCCACUACAUCUGCGUUUCAUGUGUUUCAUAAUUUCCCUGCUUCUAAAAUCUUUACAGAUCAAGAAAUUCUGCCCAUGCGGCAACUUAAAAUCGAACAUGUUAUCUGGAUUUCAAUUAAAUGUAACCAUCUCACAAGGGUUGAUGUUGUAGAGGGGACCUGUACCGAUAGCAGUUCGAAUUAAAUCAGGUGCUACCGUUGGCCAUGUGGCUUCCAACCAAAUUAAACUGAAAGCUUUCUCCUAGGUGAGUCCCUCUUCUUUCUUCAUACCUUACCAAUUACUAGAGUUUUGAUCUGCUCGUACAGUUCUCACAAUCCUAUUCCUUUUAAUGUUCUUAUUUUAUCAUGGCGUGCAGGCGGGACAUGCGGUUUUGCCAAUCUGGAGAAACACAUGUACGGGAUGGCGACGGUGGGGUGAGCGCUAUCAGGUCAGGUGUGUCGAGGACCUCACCCCCUCCUAUGCACCUCCAUCCUCGUCAAGGCCGCCAACUUCUGUGCCUCAUCCUAUGGGUUACCGCCAAUGCCGACAACAUCUGCAACCCAACCAGCCACCAUUUCCUCCUUAUCGAGAUCUUCGAGAAGAUUGCGCUCUGGAAGACUGGCGUCAUGCCCAUCCAUUACCUACGCAUCUGGACAGGCUCCACUGGAAUGCCCUCCAGCUGAAGUACUUUAUGGCCAUUCCAAGCAGUUCGUUCACUGCGCGCACCCCAAAGCACAUGCCAUCGCCGACGUUGCCAUGUCAAGGGUGAGCGAGGUCCACACAUUUGCUCUUCAAUUUGUUGGAAAUUGUGUAUCAAUGCAAGUGACAACGCAGUGUUUCAUCCGUUUAGGUAUUUUGCUUGUGUCGGGGGAAG
Lolium rigidum is the source of this 1459-nucleotide long non-coding RNA. RefSeq lists it as uncharacterized. The transcript has 3 exons. The record is from RefSeq and is a predicted model, not a curated record. NCBI's taxonomy places the organism in Eukaryota, Viridiplantae, Streptophyta, Magnoliopsida, Poales, Poaceae.